GAUGAACGCUGGCGGCGUGCCUAACACAUGCAAGUCGAGCGAAGCGCUUAAAUUAGCUUUCUUCGGAAUGACGAUUUUUGUGACUGAGCGGCGGACGGGUGAGUAACGCGUGGGUAACCUGCCUCAUACAGGGGGAUAACAGUUAGAAAUGACUGCUAAUACCGCAUAAGACCCCAGCUUCGCAUGAAGCGGUGGUAAAAACUCCGGUGGUAUGAGAUGGACCCGCGUCUGAUUAGCUAGUUGGUAAGGUAACGGCUUACCAAGGCGACGAUCAGUAGCCGACCUGAGAGGGUGACCGGCCACAUUGGGACUGAGACACGGCCCAGACUCCUACGGGAGGCAGCAGUGGGGAAUAUUGCACAAUGGGGGAAACCCUGAUGCAGCGACGCCGCGUGAAGGAUGAAGUAUUUCGGUAUGUAAACUUCUAUCAGCAGGGAAGAAAGUGACGGUACCUGACGAAGAAGCCCCGGCUAACUACGUG
This 481-nucleotide ribosomal RNA is filed under the name uncultured bacterium. Its description in RNAcentral is "partial 16S ribosomal RNA". It matches the Rfam family "Bacterial small subunit ribosomal RNA", at positions 28 to 507 of the family's 1533-position model. The record is from RNAcentral.